RNAcentral lists this ribosomal RNA (466 nucleotides) under Bacillus sp. oral taxon B77. Its description in RNAcentral is "bacterial SSU rRNA". It matches the Rfam family "Bacterial small subunit ribosomal RNA", at positions 28 to 476 of the family's 1533-position model. Lineage: Bacteria; Bacillati; Bacillota; Bacilli; Caryophanales; Bacillaceae. The record is from RNAcentral.
GACGAACGCUGGCGGCGUGCCUAAUACAUGCAAGUCGAGCGCAGGAAGUCAUCCGAACCCUUCGGGGGGACGUUGACGGAAUGAGCGGCGGACGGGUGAGUAACACGUAAAGAACCUGCCCUCAGGUCUGGGAUAACCACGAGAAAUCGGGGCUAAUACCGGAUGGGUCAUCGGACCGCAUGGUCCGAGGAUGAAAGGCGCUCCGGCGUCGCCUGGGGAUGGCUUUGCGGUGCAUUAGCUAGUUGGUGGGGUAACGGCCCACCAAGGCGACGAUGCAUAGCCGACCUGAGAGGGUGAUCGGCCACACUGGGACUGAGACACGGCCCAGACUCCUACGGGAGGCAGCAGUAGGGAAUCUUCCACAAUGGACGAAAGUCUGAUGGAGCAACGCCGCGUGAACGAUGAAGGCCCUCGGGUCGUAAAGUUCUGUUGUAAGGGAAGAACAAGUGCCGCAGGCAAUGGCGGC